This 293-nucleotide ribosomal RNA is filed under the name uncultured bacterium. RNAcentral describes it as "partial 16S ribosomal RNA". It matches the Rfam family "Archaeal small subunit ribosomal RNA", at positions 455 to 747 of the family's 1478-position model. The record is from RNAcentral.
GUGCCAGCAGCCGCGGUAAUACCGGCAGCCCGAGUGAUGGCCGAUAUUAUUGGGCCUAAAGCGUCCGUAGCUGGCCGCGCAAGUCCAUCGGAAAAUCCACCCGCCCAACGGGUGGGCGUCCGGUAGAAACUGCGUGGCUUGGGACCGGAAGGCGCGACGGGUACGUCCGGGGUAGGAGUGAAAUCCCGUAAUCCUGGACGGACCACCGGUGGCGAAAGCGCGUCGCGAGAACGGAUCCGACAGUGAGGGACGAAAGCCAGGGUCUCGAACCGGAUUAGAAACCCCGGUAGUCC